UCUGGCGACCGGCGCACGGGUGAGUAACACGUAUCCAACCUGCCGAUAACUCGGGGAUAGCCUUUCGAAAGAAAGAUUAAUACCCGAUGGCAUAAUUAGACCGCAUGGUUUGAUUAUUAAAGAAUUUCGGUUAUCGAUGGGGAGUGCGUUCCAUUAGGCAGUUGGUGAGGUAACGGCUCACCAAACCUUCGAUGGAUAGGGGUUCUGAGAGGAAGGUCCCCCACAUUGGAACUGAGACACGGUCCAA
RNAcentral lists this ribosomal RNA (247 nucleotides) under uncultured bacterium. RNAcentral describes it as "partial 16S ribosomal RNA". It matches the Rfam family "Bacterial small subunit ribosomal RNA", at positions 87 to 334 of the family's 1533-position model. The record is from RNAcentral.